This is a non-coding RNA of Oryzias latipes (Japanese medaka), 2913 nucleotides long. The record is from RefSeq and is a predicted model, not a curated record. Lineage: Eukaryota; Metazoa; Chordata; Actinopteri; Beloniformes; Adrianichthyidae.
AUCACAAAUCAUUGAAGAAAAAAGCUUCAGAGCACUGUCUAGUGGGUCUAGAUGACCCAACUCCCAACGUUAAAGUGCAUAGGAUAGAACAAGGGUUCAAUGUAUAAAUCUCAUUACUUUUUAUCUGAUUUGAUAUGACCCAGCAGAACAUUUUUGUGAGCUAUUUUCAAUUGUGUAUUACCUCAAUGAUUCCCCAAAUUUGUGUGUUGAAGGCCAUUCAGAAGGAUCUUCUGAGUAAUGCUUUGCCCCAGCCCCCCCCCCCCCCCCCCCCCCCCCCUCUGUACCUCUCUGUUCUUCUCUCUCUUCAUCAUCAGCUGAUCGUCUCUCUUUCUCUCUAUCAUCAUCGUCAUCUCAACCUUUCUCCUCAUUCUUUUCUGUUGGGAAUGACUUUUCAUGUAUGUCUGCACUUGUUUUCCUAAAAUAAGUGAACAGGUGGUCAGCAGAAGUUUAAACCAGAAUGAGCAUCUAGGUUUUUGGGACUCUAAUAAUGUAAUUAAUCCUAUCUGAAGUCAUCUCUGCUCUCUUUUCUAUCAGAUCCAUCUCCAAUCUCAUGUCUGUCUCCUUCACCUCUUUUCUGUGUUCUUUUCCACUAAAUCAUAAUAAGGCCAAGCAACAAUUAUUUCAUGUUUUAAAUAAAUUAAACUUCUUGCUAAUGCAUGUUUUUUUUUUAAAUUAAGGAUACUAUUUAAAAAUGACUGACCUGGAAUGAUCUGGCUUUGCCCUGAACGUCCACCAUCAGACCAGCCUGUUUCUUUCCUCCAUCUGUCCUGAUUCUUUUUAUCUUCUUGUCUUUCUCUCCAUCCUCACAGCUGUUUGAUAUUAACUUUGUGUUAGGAAGAAUAGAGUGACUAAACUAUUUGUAAGAAUUGAAACAUUUUUAAUUUGAAAUUAUAUUUUUAUUGGAUAUCACUCAGUGGUAGGAUAGUGCAUGGCAAGCUAGGCGAGGCAGACCCAGGCGCUGGAACCCGGAACGAAAACACAAGGUGAGCAAGUUGGUAAGUCAAGUUUUAAUGAUAUUCGGGGUUGCUUGAGAUCUUGAUAUGGCUGGAGAGCAGCGGGUGAAGUUGUUGGAAGUAGCUUUGAGGUAGUUAUGGCUCGUGGCGAGGCUGGAGGUUCUUGGUGUUCCGAGAGGUUCUGUGGCUCAGGUAAUCCGGUGACUCAGGUGUCCACUCAUGGUCAGAAUGUCCUGAAGGCGAGGCAAUACAAAAGUUAGACGUGAACAUGAACACUUGUACUAAACUAGACGAGAGACCAGGUUAUGCACCAUCAGGGGCAACGAACUGGUGAUGAAUGCUGGUUCUGGAUCUCCUUAAGUAGGUCUGGUCAGUGAUGAGGUGAGUGGAAACAGCUGGGAAUCAUCAGGAGCCAAGCAGAGAGGGGAGGGGGAGGAAAGCUGACAGAGGCACCAUGAUAGAUAGAAUAGAAUCGAUUUCUUUACUGUUGUCAAAGAUCUCCAAAUGUUCAACUAAAAUCCAAAAUGUCUUUUAGCCCAAGUGAUAUUAAAAGCAACAGGCUGUAAACUAAAUAGGCAUUCAAAAAAAAAGUUUUUUUUCAAACUUUUAACAUAAAAAGAAACAAAACACCAUCUAACCCACCAUCACAUACUUCUCCUUUCUGCCCAUAGGAGCAGCUUUUAUCAUUGUUUAGUUUUCUUACAGUCAAAGGAUAAAAAAAUUUCAGUCUUUUGGUACAUCUAGUUAAAGAAAUUAUUUAUGUCCAUCUGAAACAAAAUCAGUACAAACAAGCUCCUUUAUUUUCUCUCCAUGAUCAGUGAUACUGUAAAUCCUGCUAAGUACAGCUGCAAGACACUUGUGACCAUUUUACUAUAGUAGCUUUAGCCUGAAUGUUGUCAAGCCUUUUUUAACACUGCUAACAUAUCUGCUGUCUCUCAAGCAUUUAGAGAAGCUUUUCUUCAUUGACACCACAUCUUUGUCCCUUUUGUGUUUUCUGUUUUAAGCCCCAGAUUGUUUUUUCUUUUGCCUUCUUAUUUAAAGCGCACUGUCAUCAGAUGAUCGCACAAUUCAAACAGAAACAAUCAGACGCGUGCGUCUCCGAGAGAGCACGCUCCAGCACGUUCCACUGCGCUCUCUUUACAAGACCCGAGGGAGGGAGGAGCGGCUGCGGUGGGGGCACCCGAUCAGUGACGAUGUGCUUCUGUUAAUGAUCAUAUCAGGCCCAGUGCUUUUUUUGAAGAUGCAUUUUUGGCCAAAAAUACUGUGGUGACCUCCUUGGUGGACUGCAUUCAUGGGACAACAGAUUAGAUUAGAUUUGCUUUAUUGUCAUUGUGCAUAGUACAAUGAGAUUUAAGCAUCGCCAUCAGUGCAAGAACAGCAAGGAAGGAAAAUAUAAUAAAAAAACAUUGUAAUACAAUAAAAUCAAAUAAACAAACAGUAUAUACAAGUGUGAAAAUAUAAACUGUAAACUGUAAUGAAGAGUGCCGAAAUAAUUGUUCAAAAUUGCGUAUGAAAACUGUGUGUAAACAUGUCAAAAGUGCCAGAGGUGGUAAAGAGGUAGAGUGUUGACACUGUGGACAGAGAAGUAAACAGGAAUAUGGAUUUUAUCUGUGCAUUUGGGAAUUGAGGAUUGUUAUUGCCUUUGGAAAGAAGCUGUUUUUUAGUCCGUUCAUUUUGAUUCUGAUCCCUCUGUAGCGCCUCCCAGAGGGCAUCAGGUUGAACAGGUCUGAGCCGGGGUGUGAACUGUCCUUGAUGAUGUUAUGAGCCCUAGUGAUGCAGCGCGUGGAGCAGAUGUCCGUCAGGGUGGGGAGAGGGCACCCAAUGAUUUCCUGAGCCAUCUCUAUGACUCUCUGCAGUCUCUUUUUAUCCGCGGCCGUGACUUUGUUGGGAAAACCAUGACAGAACAUGUAAUGUUAUUUUAAUUUCUUCUUCUUUGAGAAAAUAAACAUGCCUGCAUAUA